AUUGAACGCUGGCGGUAUGCUUAACACAUGCAAGUCGAACGGUAGCAGGCCUUCGGGCGCUGACGAGUGGCGGACGGGUGAGUAAUGCAUAGGAAUCUGCCGAUUAGUGGGGGAUAACGUGGGGAAACUCACGCUAAUACCGCAUACGCCCUACGGGGGAAAGGCGGGGGACCGUUCGGGCCGUCGCGCUAAUUGAUGAGCCUAUGUUGGAUUAGCUAGUUGGUAGGGUAAAGGCCUACCAAGGCGACGAUCCAUAGCUGGUCUGAGAGGAUGAUCAGCCACACUGGGACUGAGACACGGCCCAGACUCCUACGGGAGGCAGCAGUGGGGAAUAUUGGACAAUGGGCGAAAGCCUGAUCCAGCAAUACCGCGUGUGUGAAGAAGGCCUGAGGGUUGUAAAGCACUUCAAUAGGAAGGAAUACCUAUCGGCGAAUACCCGGUAGACUGACAUUACCUAUACAAGAAGCACCGGCUAACUCCGUGCCAGCAG
RNAcentral lists this ribosomal RNA (490 nucleotides) under uncultured bacterium. RNAcentral's name for it is "bacterial SSU rRNA". It matches the Rfam family "Bacterial small subunit ribosomal RNA", at positions 30 to 514 of the family's 1533-position model. The record is from RNAcentral.